RNAcentral lists this ribosomal RNA (468 nucleotides) under uncultured bacterium. RNAcentral's name for it is "partial 16S ribosomal RNA". It matches the Rfam family "Bacterial small subunit ribosomal RNA", at positions 28 to 507 of the family's 1533-position model. The record is from RNAcentral.
GACGAACGCUGGCGGCGUGCUUAACACAUGCAAGUCGAACGGAAAGGCCCUGCUUUUGUGGGGUGCUCGAGUGGCGAACGGGUGAGUAACACGUGAGUAACCUGCCCUUGACUUUGGGAUAACUUCAGGAAACUGGGGCUAAUACCGGAUAGGAGCUCCUGCUGCAUGGUGUGGGUUGGAAAGUUUCGGCGGUUGGGGAUGGACUCGCGGCUUAUCAGCUUGUUGGUGGGGUAGUGGCUUACCAAGGCUUUGACGGGUAGCCGGCCUGAGAGGGUGACCGGCCACAUUGGGACUGAGAUACGGCCCAGACUCCUACGGGAGGCAGCAGUGGGGAAUAUUGCACAAUGGGCGGAAGCCCGAUGCAGCAACGCCGCGUGCGGGAUGACGGCCUUCGGGUUGUAAACCGCUUUCGCCUGUGACGAAGCGUGAGUGACGGUAAUGGGUAAAGAAGCACCGGCUAACUACGUG